AGCAAAUAGCAUCGAAAGAAAGAGCCUGGAGCACAGGGCAGAUGUGACUGGAGUGAUUUGCGCCCGGAUGCUUAGACUGGCCAUCUGCUCAGAGGCUGCUCAGGAAGACCCGCCCAUGUGCUCUUCUGUCGCAGACUAGCCUGCUCUGCCUGUAGCUGUGGGUUUCCAGGACCUCAGACCAACAACCAUCUCUUCCUGCCACUUUGAAUUAGAUUUCUCUGGAUAUCUCAGGUAAGUGGAUCCAUUCAUUAUAUGUCCUUUUGCAUCUGGCUUGUUUCAUUUAGAAUGACGUUUUUAAUGUUCAUCCA
Odocoileus virginianus texanus is the source of this 308-nucleotide non-coding RNA. NCBI's taxonomy places the organism in Eukaryota, Metazoa, Chordata, Mammalia, Artiodactyla, Cervidae. The record is from RefSeq and is a predicted model, not a curated record.